RNAcentral lists this ribosomal RNA (431 nucleotides) under uncultured bacterium. RNAcentral describes it as "partial 16S ribosomal RNA". It matches the Rfam family "Bacterial small subunit ribosomal RNA", at positions 36 to 507 of the family's 1533-position model. The record is from RNAcentral.
CCCUCCCUCUGGCGGCAGGCUUAACACAUGCAAGUCGAACGCCCCGCAAGGGGAGUGGCGCACGGGUGAGUAACGCGUGGAUAUCUGCCUUUUGGUUCGGAAUAACCCCGGGAAACUGGGGCUAAUACCGGAUGGUUCCUACGGGAUAAAGAUUUAUCGCCAAAAGAUGAGUCCGCGUACGAUUAGCUAGUUGGUGAGGUAAUGGCUCACCAAGGCGACGAUCGUUAGCUGGUCUGAGAGGACGAUCAGCCACACUGGGACUGAGACACGGCCCAGACUCCUACGGGAGGCAGCAGUGGGGAAUAUUGGACAAUGGGGGCAACCCUGAUCCAGCCAUGCCGCGUGAGUGAUGAAGGCCUUCGGGUUGUAAAGCUCUUUUGGCGGGGACGAUGAUGACGGUACCCGCAGAAUAAGCCCCGGCUAACUUCGUG